CUACGGGAUGCUCCAGUGAGGAAUAUUGCACAAUGGGGGGAACCCUGAUGCAGCAACGCCGCGUGGAGGAUGACGCAUUUCGGUGUGUAAACUCCUUUUAUAUGUCAAGAAAAUGACGGUAGCAUAUGAAUAAGCACCGGCUAACUCCGUGCCAGCAGCCGCGGUAAUACGGAGGGGGCAGCGUUACUCGGAAUCACUGGGCGUAAAGGACGCGUAGGCGGGUUGGAAAGUCAGGUGUGAAAUCCUACAGCUUAACUGUAGAACUGCACUUGAAACUUCUAAUCUAGAGUAUGGGAGGGGGAGAUGGAAUUAGUGGUGUAGGGGUAAAAUCCGUAGAUAUCACUAGGAAUACCUAAAGCGAAGGCGAUCUCCUGGAACAUUACUGACGCUAAGGCGUGAAAGCGUGGGGAGCAAACAGGAUUAGAUACCCGAGUAGUC
RNAcentral lists this ribosomal RNA (438 nucleotides) under uncultured bacterium. RNAcentral describes it as "partial 16S ribosomal RNA". It matches the Rfam family "Bacterial small subunit ribosomal RNA", at positions 339 to 795 of the family's 1533-position model. The record is from RNAcentral.